GCACCGAAACACCUGCAACUAGCAGUGCAACUGCAACAUCCUCGGCACUCAGCAGCCGCAUGCUGUGCAGCGAAUCUGUAGUCCAGCCGCUUUCCAGGCACUUUAAACGGGGCGUCUAGCUGUCUGGCCAGGUUCUUGGACCUAUUCCUGUCCAGAUCGCGCUGGGAGUUGGCCUUGGUGCGAGGACACGCUGCGAACUGUCCGGGAAGUGGAACCCGCGGAGGACGCCCUGGCCAAAUGGUCACCACGGCGGAAUCGCCAGACUCUUAGGCGUCUUGGAAUUGGUCACGGAUCAGAUUUUCUCACCAAAUCGAAACACUUGUCCUUCCCAUUUGGGACAUUCCAAAUCGUCCUUCACCUUCCGUUCACACUCUUCAAGUGUCCUGUGCCAUUAGUGUUUGCUUAAGGUCAGAGGGCUUGUCGAAUGCAAAUAGAUCAUAAAACUCAAAAACAUUUGGUUGCCGUGCCAAAAAAAAGGUGUCAAGUGUUCGGUGAAAUGCGUGGUAAAGGUCGCAAAGGUGGCUACCACGGACAAAUAAACACGACUCUCUAUGUAAAUAUGUGCUGACUAGCAGUUGAAUAAAUACGGGGAAAGAGGAA
Molecule: long non-coding RNA, 600 nt
Organism: Drosophila yakuba
Lineage: Eukaryota; Metazoa; Arthropoda; Insecta; Diptera; Drosophilidae
Exons: 2
Source: RefSeq, a predicted model, not a curated record